AAAAUCCAUAAAAAAAUAGAAAAUCUAGAAAAAGAAGUUGAAAAAUAAAAAUCAGAUGAAGAAAAAUUUAAGAGAAUUUUAGAAAUUAUUUUGGUAUUUUUUGAAUGAAAAAUGAAUUUUCUAUGAAUUUUAAAAGAAAAAGAAAUUUAAUAUGAAAAAAUAAAAAGAAAUAAAAUCAGUAAAAACACGGAGCGUUGGAUC
This 201-nucleotide long non-coding RNA is filed under the name Lathyrus oleraceus (garden pea). RNAcentral's name for it is "Pisum sativum (pea) long non-coding RNA (PSAT_LNC024402)". The record is from RNAcentral. Lineage: Eukaryota; Viridiplantae; Streptophyta; Magnoliopsida; Fabales; Fabaceae.